RNAcentral lists this ribosomal RNA (2902 nucleotides) under Escherichia coli. RNAcentral's name for it is "bacterial LSU rRNA". It matches the Rfam family "Bacterial large subunit ribosomal RNA". The record is from RNAcentral. Lineage: Bacteria; Pseudomonadati; Pseudomonadota; Gammaproteobacteria; Enterobacterales; Enterobacteriaceae.
UUAAGCGACUAAGCGUACACGGUGGAUGCCCUGGCAGUCAGAGGCGAUGAAGGACGUGCUAAUCUGCGAUAAGCGUCGGUAAGGUGAUAUGAACCGUUAUAACCGGCGAUUUCCGAAUGGGGAAACCCAGUGUGUUUCGACACACUAUCAUUAACUGAAUCCAUAGGUUAAUGAGGCGAACCGGGGGAACUGAAACAUCUAAGUACCCCGAGGAAAAGAAAUCAACCGAGAUUCCCCCAGUAGCGGCGAGCGAACGGGGAGCAGCCCAGAGCCUGAAUCAGUGUGUGUGUUAGUGGAAGCGUCUGGAAAGGCGCGCGAUACAGGGUGACAGCCCCGUACACAAAAAUGCACAUACUGUGAGCUCGAUGAGUAGGGCGGGACACGUGGUAUCCUGUCUGAAUAUGGGGGGACCAUCCUCCAAGGCUAAAUACUCCUGACUGACCGAUAGUGAACCAGUACCGUGAGGGAAAGGCGAAAAGAACCCCGGCGAGGGGAGUGAAAAAGAACCUGAAACCGUGUACGUACAAGCAGUGGGAGCACGCUUAGGCGUGUGACUGCGUACCUUUUGUAUAAUGGGUCAGCGACUUAUAUUCUGUAGCAAGGUUAACCGAAUAGGGGAGCCGAAGGGAAACCGAGUCUUAACUGGGCGUUAAGUUGCAGGGUAUAGACCCGAAACCCGGUGAUCUAGCCAUGGGCAGGUUGAAGGUUGGGUAACACUAACUGGAGGACCGAACCGACUAAUGUUGAAAAAUUAGCGGAUGACUUGUGGCUGGGGGUGAAAGGCCAAUCAAACCGGGAGAUAGCUGGUUCUCCCCGAAAGCUAUUUAGGUAGCGCCUCGUGAAUUCAUCUCCGGGGGUAGAGCACUGUUUCGGCAAGGGGGUCAUCCCGACUUACCAACCCGAUGCAAACUGCGAAUACCGGAGAAUGUUAUCACGGGAGACACACGGCGGGUGCUAACGUCCGUCGUGAAGAGGGAAACAACCCAGACCGCCAGCUAAGGUCCCAAAGUCAUGGUUAAGUGGGAAACGAUGUGGGAAGGCCCAGACAGCCAGGAUGUUGGCUUAGAAGCAGCCAUCAUUUAAAGAAAGCGUAAUAGCUCACUGGUCGAGUCGGCCUGCGCGGAAGAUGUAACGGGGCUAAACCAUGCACCGAAGCUGCGGCAGCGACGCUGAUGCGUUGUUGGGUAGGGGAGCGUUCUGUAAGCCUGUGAAGGUGUGCUGUGAGGCAUGCUGGAGGUAUCAGAAGUGCGAAUGCUGACAUAAGUAACGAUAAAGCGGGUGAAAAGCCCGCUCGCCGGAAGACCAAGGGUUCCUGUCCAACGUUAAUCGGGGCAGGGUGAGUCGACCCCUAAGGCGAGGCCGAAAGGCGUAGUCGAUGGGAAACAGGUUAAUAUUCCUGUACUUGGUGUUACUGCGAAGGGGGGACGGAGAAGGCUAUGUUGGCCGGGCGACGGUUGUCCCGGUUUAAGCGUGUAGGCUGGUUUUCCAGGCAAAUCCGGAAAACUAAGGCUGAGGCGUGAUGACGAGGCACUACGGUGCUGAAGCAACAAAUGCCCUGCUUCCAGGAAAAGCCUCUAAGCAUCAGGUAACAUCAAAUCGUACCCCAAACCGACACAGGUGGUCAGGUAGAGAAUACCAAGGCGCUUGAGAGAACUCGGGUGAAGGAACUAGGCAAAAUGGUGCCGUAACUUCGGGAGAAGGCACGCUGAUAUGUAGGUGAAGUCCCUCGCGGAUGGAGCUGAAAUCAGUCGAAGAUACCAGCUGGCUGCAACUGUUUAUUAAAAACACAGCACUGUGCAAACACGAAAGUGGACGUAUACGGUGUGACGCCUGCCCGGUGCCGGAAGGUUAAUUGAUGGGGUCAGCGCAAGCGAAGCUCUUGAUCGAAGCCCCGGUAAACGGCGGCCGUAACUAUAACGGUCCUAAGGUAGCGAAAUUCCUUGUCGGGUAAGUUCCGACCUGCACGAAUGGCGUAAUGAUGGCCAGGCUGUCUCCACCCGAGACUCAGUGAAAUUGAACUCGCUGUGAAGAUGCAGUGUACCCGCGGCAAGACGGAAAGACCCCGUGAACCUUUACUAUAGCUUGACACUGAACAUUGAGCCUUGAUGUGUAGGAUAGGUGGGAGGCUUUGAAGUGUGGACGCCAGUCUGCAUGGAGCCGACCUUGAAAUACCACCCUUUAAUGUUUGAUGUUCUAACGUUGACCCGUGAUCCGGGUUGCGGACAGUGUCUGGUGGGUAGUUUGACUGGGGCGGUCUCCUCCUAAAGAGUAACGGAGGAGCACGAAGGUUGGCUAAUCCUGGUCGGACAUCAGGAGGUUAGUGCAAUGGCAUAAGCCAGCUUGACUGCGAGCGUGACGGCGCGAGCAGGUGCGAAAGCAGGUCAUAGUGAUCCGGUGGUUCUGAAUGGAAGGGCCAUCGCUCAACGGAUAAAAGGUACUCCGGGGAUAACAGGCUGAUACCGCCCAAGAGUUCAUAUCGACGGCGGUGUUUGGCACCUCGAUGUCGGCUCAUCACAUCCUGGGGCUGAAGUAGGUCCCAAGGGUAUGGCUGUUCGCCAUUUAAAGUGGUACGCGAGCUGGGUUUAGAACGUCGUGAGACAGUUCGGUCCCUAUCUGCCGUGGGCGCUGGAGAACUGAGGGGGGCUGCUCCUAGUACGAGAGGACCGGAGUGGACGCAUCACUGGUGUUCGGGUUGUCAUGCCAAUGGCACUGCCCGGUAGCUAAAUGCGGAAGAGAUAAGUGCUGAAAGCAUCUAAGCACGAAACUUGCCCCGAGAUGAGUUCUCCCUGACUCCUUGAGAGUCCUGAAGGAACGUUGAAGACGACGACGUUGAUAGGCCGGGUGUGUAAGCGCAGCGAUGCGUUGAGCUAACCGGUACUAAUGAACCGUGAGGCUUAACCUU